RNAcentral lists this ribosomal RNA (497 nucleotides) under uncultured bacterium. Its description in RNAcentral is "partial 16S ribosomal RNA". It matches the Rfam family "Bacterial small subunit ribosomal RNA", at positions 28 to 507 of the family's 1533-position model. The record is from RNAcentral.
GAUGAACGCUGGCGGCGUGCCUAAUACAUGCAAGUCGAGCGAACAGACGAGGAGCUUGCUCCUCUGACGUUAGCGGCGGACGGGUGAGUAACACGUGGAUAACCUACCUAUAAGACUGGGAUAACUUCGGGAAACCGGAGCUAAUACCGGAUAAUAUAUUGAACCGCAUGGUUCAAUAGUGAAAGACGGUUUUGCUGUCACUUAUAGAUGGAUCCGCGCCGCAUUAGCUAGUUGGUAAGGUAACGGCUUACCAAGGCAACGAUGCGUAGCCGACCUGAGAGGGUGAUCGGCCACCCUGGAACUGAGACACGGUCCAGACUCCUACGGGAGGCAGCAGUAGGGAAUCUUCCGCAAUGGGCGAAAGCCUGACGGAGCAACGCCGCGUGAGUGAUGAAGGUCUUCGGAUCGUAAAACUCUGUUAUUAGGGAAGAACAAAUGUGUAAGUAACUAUGCACGUCUUGACGGUACCUAAGCAGAAAGCCACGGCUAACUACGUG